This 456-nucleotide long non-coding RNA is filed under the name Musa acuminata (dwarf banana). RNAcentral's name for it is "long non-coding RNA (MACU_LNC000038)". Lineage: Eukaryota; Viridiplantae; Streptophyta; Magnoliopsida; Zingiberales; Musaceae. The record is from RNAcentral.
UCACUUUUUACAACACAUAUUAGUAUUUGACUCAGUGAAGUUUGUUAGUGAUAUGAAGGAUGGAUGGAAAUCUUGGUUCGCUGCCGAUACUGAUUGGAGGCCGGAUCGAUACUGUACUGGUACAGGUUGGUGUGUUGAAACAGGUCAGUACUGAUAGCUACCAAGCCAGACGAUAGAGAAAGUGAGAGACAAAAGACGGGAGGAGGCAGCAACACUGGCAGGCUGCAGCGGACAUGGAUGACAACAAGGAGGAAAUUACAUGGAGGAGGAGGCAAAGGAGUAGCUGUAGCAGUAGGAGGAUAAGCUGGAAGUGGUGGUGGAGUAGGAGAAGAAGAACAUGAGGCGGAGGUGGCAAAGAAGGAGGAGAGAGAAGAAAAUAAAAGAAAAUGCAGUUAUUAAGAGUUGUUAAUAAAUUCUAAGAAAAAAGAAGAUUUGAAACCAGUAUGUCUUACUGCC